UGGGGAAUAUUGGACAAUGGGCGAAAGCCUGAUCUAGCCAUGCCGCGUGUGUGAAGAAGGCCUUUUGGUUGUAAAGCACUUUAAGCGAGGAGGAGGCUACUGAGAUUAAUACUCUUGGAUAGUGGACGUUACUCGCAGAAUAAGCACCGGCUAACUCUGUGCCAGCAGCCGCGGUAAUACAGAGGGUGCGAGCGUUAAUCGGAUUUACUGGGCGUAAAGCGUGCGUAGGCGGCUUCUUAAGUCGGAUGUGAAAUCCCUGAGCUUAACUUAGGAAUUGCAUUCGAUACUGGGAAGCUAGAGUAUGGGAGAUGAUGGUAGAAUUCCAGGUGUAGCGGUGAAAUGCGUAGAGAUCUGGAGGAAUACCGAUGGCGAAGGCAGCCAUCUGGCCUAAUACUGACGCUGAGGUACGAAAGCAUGGGGAGCAAACAGG
This 430-nucleotide ribosomal RNA is filed under the name Acidobacteriota bacterium. RNAcentral describes it as "Acidobacteria bacterium partial 16S ribosomal RNA". It matches the Rfam family "Bacterial small subunit ribosomal RNA", at positions 355 to 776 of the family's 1533-position model. Lineage: Bacteria; Pseudomonadati; Acidobacteriota. The record is from RNAcentral.